Molecule: ribosomal RNA, 305 nt
Filed under: uncultured bacterium
Lineage: Bacteria
Description: bacterial SSU rRNA
Rfam family: Bacterial small subunit ribosomal RNA
Source: RNAcentral
UGCACCUACGGUACGCAGCAGUUUUUUCUCUUGCACCCUUGCUUAAACUCUGAUGCAGCGACGCCGCGUGAGGGAAGACGGUCUUCGGAUUGUAAACCUCUGUCUUUGGGGAAGAAAAUGACGGUACCCAAAGAGGAAGCUCCGGCUAACUACGUGCCAGCAGCCGCGGUAAUACGUAGGGAGCGAGCGUUGUCCGGAAUUACUGGGUGUAAAGGGAGCAUAGGCGGGCGAGAAAGUUGAAUGUUAAAUCUACCGGCUUAACUGGUAGCUGCGUUCAAAACUUCUUGUCUUGAGUGAAGUAGAGG